UUAUCAAAAACAUGUCUUUUUGAAUUUAAUUUAAAGUCUAACCUGCCCACUGAAAUUUUAAAUGGCCGCAGUAUUUUAACUGUGCAAAGGUAGCAUAAUCAUUAGUCUUUUAAUUGAAGGCUGGAAUGAAUGGUUGAAUGAAAUAUUAACUGUUUCAUAUUAAUUAAAAAUAGAAUUUUAUUUUUUAGUUAAAAAGCUAAAAUUUUUUUAAAAGACGAGAAGACCCUAUAAAUCUUUAUAUUUAAGUUUAUAAUUUUUAUAUGGAUAAUUAAAAUUUUUAUACAAUUAAAUAUUUUAUUGGGGUGAUAUUUAAAUUUAUAUAACUUUAAAUUUUUAAUAAACAUAAAUUAUUGAAUUGUUGAUCCAUAAAUUAUGAUUAAAAAAUUAAGUUACUUUAGGGAUAACAGCGUAAUUUUUUUAGAGAGUUCAUAUUAAUAAAAAAGUUUGCGACCUCGAUGUUGGAUUAAGAUAAAAUUUAGGUGAAGAAG
RNAcentral lists this ribosomal RNA (488 nucleotides) under Melaloncha cristula. RNAcentral describes it as "partial 16S ribosomal RNA". Lineage: Eukaryota; Metazoa; Arthropoda; Insecta; Diptera; Phoridae. The record is from RNAcentral.